Molecule: long non-coding RNA, 1067 nt
Organism: Ipomoea nil (Japanese morning glory)
Lineage: Eukaryota; Viridiplantae; Streptophyta; Magnoliopsida; Solanales; Convolvulaceae
Exons: 2
Source: RefSeq, a predicted model, not a curated record
UCUAUAUAUCUUUGUAUGCAUCUUUCUGUCUUCGUUGCAGAACAAAUUAAACCCACAAAACAAUCAAAAACCUCAUCACCAUGACCCUAUAUAUACAUGUGUGUGUAGUUACCCAAGCUAUGGUUAGUUUUUCCGGCCGCCGGCCACCGGUGGUUCUUUGUCAUUCUUAGCCGGACCACCACCGCCACCAAAGGGCAUGUUUGGUUUUUUGAGGUUGUGGGUGUGGUGUUGGAGCUAGGUGUAUAUAUACAUACAUAUACAAGAUUCUUUUUUUUUAUUUGUUAGGUUUUAAUUUGUUUUCCCACUCAUUCAAUUCUCAUUCUCUAAUAUAUAAUCUUCUUGAUCACUUUGUAUUUCUAGUUGAUUUCAUCCUCAAAGAAUAUAAUUAAUUUAGCCCACACUUUGCAAUUCUUUUAGUUUGCCCUAGCUACCUUCAUCAUAGUCCAUCUUCCUCAAAUGGUCAUUCAUGUGAAAACCUUGAUUUUUAGGGCAAACAUUUGAAUGUAUGUAUAUACCACACACACACACUUCCUUUGAUAUGAUGGGGGAAAGUGAUUAUUAAACUUGAGAUUUUUAUGUCAGACUACGAGGUUUUCGGCUAGGUAUAUGUAUACAUAUGUACGUAUAUGCCUGGCUCCCUGUAUGCCAUUUGCAGGGCUCACCGAGACGUCGAUGGCCUCGUUGAAUGGCGUAUGAGGAGCCAAGCAUAUUCCCAUCCCGUAUAUAUGUUAUGCAUAUACUUGACCUGUGCUACUCAAACAGUAUGACUUUACUUACAUUUUCACAUUUUGAAGCUUAUCUUUUGUAGCUAGUCACUGUUCAAGCUAGCUAGGUUUUGCUGUCAUGUUAUAUAUGCUUGGCUGCAGCAGUAAAGGAGAAGCAUAUAAUGCAACAUUUCUCUACUUCUUUCAGAUGGACUAGCCAGGCCGGACCUAUGUACAAUGAUCAUUUGUUACUGUGGUUUUAUUUGGCGGGGGAAGGACUAACUUUAUGCAGUGGAGCUGAGCAGCAGCAGGAGGUUUAUCAUAAAGCUAAACCCAUAAACAAAAAAAAAAAAAAAAAGGGAA